RNAcentral lists this long non-coding RNA (501 nucleotides) under Homo sapiens (human). Its description in RNAcentral is "HSALNT0399649". Lineage: Eukaryota; Metazoa; Chordata; Mammalia; Primates; Hominidae. The record is from RNAcentral.
UCUUCUGUAGCACCGCUGAAGUUUGCUGGGAGUCAACUCCAGACCUUAUUUGCCUGAGUCCCUUCUUAACAUGGAGGUAUCACCAGUGGAGGCUAGAGAACAGCAAAGAUGGCAGCCUUCUUCUUCUUCUGGGAGCUCUGUCCCAGAGGCACACUGACCUAUUGCCAGCCAGAACACCCCUGUAUGAGGUACCCAAACUAAGAAGCCGAUGAAACUAGUUUUUCAGCCCUUAGCACAUCACCCAUAAAUGGAGACAAGGUGAUCAAGAGAUGCUGAGGAGGGCUGAUAGUGGAGAGAAUUGUUGGAAAGCAUGAAUUUCCCCAACCACAGAAGAAAGCCAAUGAAUCUCAACUGAGCAAACUGAUGAGCUUUUUGUCACUCUAAAUAUCUGUUGAGGGCUCUCGAUCUGCUAGAUCAAUCACAGUCUCAGCCCUCGGUAUCAAACUCCUUACCACACAUAGGAAAACUCGAGUCAGAGGGCAAGAGAGUCACCCAAGCUCC